AGGGUUUGAUUAUGGCUCAGAACGAACGCUGAUGGAGUGUUUUAUACAUGCAAGUCGAGCGAGGACUGGUAGCAAUACUAGAGCCGAGCGGCGCACGGGUGAGUAACGCGUGAACAAUCUGCCCUGCAGUCGGGAAUAACUGUCCUAACGGACAGCUAAUGCCGGAUGAUAACGGAGUCCACCUGGAUUCUGAUUAAAAGAUUUAUCGCUGCAGGAUGAGUUCGCGUCUGAUUAGCUAGUUGGUGAGGUAAUGGCUCACCAAGGCGACGAUCAGUAGCCGGCCUGAGAGGGUGAUCGGCCACAUUGGGACUGAGAUACGGCCCAGACUCCUACGGGAGGCAGCAGUAGGGAAUCUUGCGCAAUGGGGGAAACCCUGACGCAGCAACUCCAUGUGUGGGAAGAAGCUUUUCGGAGUGUAAACCACUGUCGAUAGGGAUUAAAGCACAGGUUCGCCCUGUGUUGAACGUACCUAUAAAGGAAGCACCGGCUAACUUCGUGCCAGCAGCCGCGGUAAUACGAGGGGUGCAAGCGUUGUUCGGAAUUACUGGGCGUAAAGGGAGCGUAGGCGGACUAUCAAGUCCAUCGUUCAAUUCUGGGGCCCAACCC
RNAcentral lists this ribosomal RNA (606 nucleotides) under uncultured bacterium. Its description in RNAcentral is "bacterial SSU rRNA". It matches the Rfam family "Bacterial small subunit ribosomal RNA", at positions 8 to 615 of the family's 1533-position model. The record is from RNAcentral.